RNAcentral lists this long non-coding RNA (348 nucleotides) under Brassica napus (rape). Its description in RNAcentral is "long non-coding RNA (BNAP_LNC006553)". Lineage: Eukaryota; Viridiplantae; Streptophyta; Magnoliopsida; Brassicales; Brassicaceae. The record is from RNAcentral.
CAAAAUCAUCAUACAAUAUUCUGCGCUUGCAAAGCGCGGAUCAAGAUCUAGUGUUUAUGUUAAAUUUGAACAUAUAAACGGGUUUAUGAUUUUUGAUAGUAUCCAUUUUAUGCUGUUUAGGGUGUAGGGUUUAGAGUUUGAGGUUUCGUGUUCCAUGCGAGCCGUAUAUUAUGUCGUCUAUAUAUUUUUUGGUUGACUGAUAACAGGUAUAAUUUUAAAUUCUGUUUUGAUAUUGUUUCCAAAAAUCAGUCGAUUAAAUCUUUUAAAGAAGAAAAUUCGGCACAUACGGAAUGAUAUACACGAAUAUUCCUAUAAUGGAUUUGAAAUUCGUUAAAUUUAAUUUAAAAU